UAGCAGGUUCCACAGAAUGGGCCCCGCC
RNAcentral lists this small RNA (28 nucleotides) under Bombyx mori (domestic silkworm). RNAcentral's name for it is "ovarian small RNA-22278". Lineage: Eukaryota; Metazoa; Arthropoda; Insecta; Lepidoptera; Bombycidae. The record is from RNAcentral.